CUAUUAUGGAGAGUUUGAUCCUGGCUCAGGACGAACGCUGGCGGCAUGCCUAAUACAUGCAAGUCGAGCGAAUGACGAAGAAGCUUGCUUCUUCUGAUUUAGCGGCGGACGGGUGAGUAACACGUGGGCAACCUGCCCUGUAGAUUGGGAUAACUCCGGGAAACCGGGGCUAAUACCGAAUAAUCCAUUUCCUC
This 194-nucleotide ribosomal RNA is filed under the name Psychrobacillus psychrotolerans. RNAcentral's name for it is "partial 16S rRNA. Bacterial SSU". It matches the Rfam family "Bacterial small subunit ribosomal RNA", at positions 1 to 187 of the family's 1533-position model. The record is from RNAcentral. Lineage: Bacteria; Bacillati; Bacillota; Bacilli; Caryophanales; Bacillaceae.